UAGGGAAUCUUGCGCAAUGGACGAAAGUCUGACGCAGCGACGCCGCGUGAGCGAUGAAGGCCUUCGGGUUGUAAAGCUCUGUGGGGAGAGAAGAAUAAGUGCGGUCCAAUACACCGCGCGAUGACGGUAUCUCCUUAGCAAGCAUUGGCUAACUCUGUGCCAGCAGCCGCGGUAAGACAGAGGGUGCGAACGUUGUUCGGAAUUACUGGGCGUAAAGAGCGUGUAGGCGGCUCUGCAAGUCGGGCGUGAAAUCCCACGGCUCAAUCGUGGAAGUGCACUCGAAACUGCAGAGCUAGAGUCCUGGAGAGGAAGGUGGAAUGCUUGGUGUAGAGGUGAAAUUCGUAGAUAUCAAGCGGAACACCGGUGGCGAAGGCGGCCUUCUGGACAGUGACUGACGCUUAAGCGCGAAAGCGUGGGGAGCAAACAGG
This 428-nucleotide ribosomal RNA is filed under the name uncultured bacterium. RNAcentral describes it as "bacterial SSU rRNA". It matches the Rfam family "Bacterial small subunit ribosomal RNA", at positions 355 to 776 of the family's 1533-position model. The record is from RNAcentral.